UAAUUGAUGACUAUAAGGCAUUUUUCGCAA
This 30-nucleotide non-coding RNA is filed under the name Mus musculus (house mouse). The record is from RNAcentral. Lineage: Eukaryota; Metazoa; Chordata; Mammalia; Rodentia; Muridae.